This 243-nucleotide long non-coding RNA is filed under the name Capsella rubella. Its description in RNAcentral is "long non-coding RNA (CRUB_LNC002546)". Lineage: Eukaryota; Viridiplantae; Streptophyta; Magnoliopsida; Brassicales; Brassicaceae. The record is from RNAcentral.
GACAAUCGUAUUAUUUUACUUGUUUAAAAUCUCUAGACUUUACUUGUUUUGGGACUAAAAUCUAUGGUGCCAUUUGACUGAUUUUCUUAUUUUUCUAAGGGUUUGACCAAAAGGAAAAAAAAAAAUUAAUUAAAAAAUUUAAUUAAAAAAUUCUAAAAUUGGUUAAAAUACAAACUCAUCCUCACUAAAUCAAAAAUUUAUAGAUCCAACCACCCUAUAUCCGAAAACCCAUUUCAGUAUCGG